This 217-nucleotide long non-coding RNA is filed under the name Elaeis guineensis (African oil palm). RNAcentral's name for it is "long non-coding RNA (EGUI_LNC021719)". The record is from RNAcentral. Lineage: Eukaryota; Viridiplantae; Streptophyta; Magnoliopsida; Arecales; Arecaceae.
UCUCGUCGAUCUAGGAGAAGCUCGGAUGUUUCGAGGUUGCUGACGAAUCUACUGUUGUCGGACGCCUCGGGCGCUGAUGCUACAGGUGGGAGUCAUCUGCUGUAGAAGCUCGGAUGAUAAUUUUUCAUUGGUGAAGUCCGGUAGGAGUCCGAUUGCUAGAGAAGUUCGUCUGGGAUUUGCCUGACGUGGAAGCUCGUCUGAAGAUUAUCCAUCGGAG